RNAcentral lists this RNase P RNA (223 nucleotides) under Shigella flexneri. RNAcentral's name for it is "partial RNase P RNA component class A". It matches the Rfam family "Bacterial RNase P class A", at positions 1 to 199 of the family's 367-position model. From Rfam's summary of the family: Ribonuclease P (RNase P) is a ubiquitous endoribonuclease, found in archaea, bacteria and eukarya as well as chloroplasts and mitochondria. Its best characterised activity is the generation of mature 5'-ends of tRNAs by cleaving the 5'-leader elements of precursor-tRNAs. Lineage: Bacteria; Pseudomonadati; Pseudomonadota; Gammaproteobacteria; Enterobacterales; Enterobacteriaceae. The record is from RNAcentral.
GAAGCUGACCAGACAGUCGCCGCUUCGUCGUCGUCCUCUUCGGGGGAGACGGGUGGAGGGGAGGAAAGUCCGGGCUCCAUAGGGCAGGGUGCCAGGUAACGCCUGGGGGGGAAACCCACGACCAGUGCAACAGAGAGCAAACCGCCGAUGGCCCGUGCAAGCGGGAUCAGGUAAGGGUGAAAGGGUGCGGUAAGAGCGCACCGCGCGGCUGGUAACAGUCCGU